This 73-nucleotide transfer RNA is filed under the name Rattus norvegicus (Norway rat). It matches the Rfam family "tRNA". Rfam says of the family: Transfer RNA (tRNA) molecules are approximately 80 nucleotides in length. Their secondary structure includes four short double-helical elements and three loops (D, anti-codon, and T loops). The record is from Rfam by way of RNAcentral. Lineage: Eukaryota; Metazoa; Chordata; Mammalia; Rodentia; Muridae.
UGGGCUGGAGCUCAGUGGGGAGAAUGCUUGCCUUAUAUGCUAGAAGCCCUGGGUUCGAUUCCCAGCACUGCAU